CAAGACUAAGUGCUGACGCUGGAGGAGUGCGCAGAGCUCUCUGCUCAUACCUGCCUGCAAACAAGGGAAGGAGCAGCCCAGAGCCCUUGUGAAGUCCUCAGGGAAGCCCUCUGACCUGCUGGUGGUCAUGGACAGCUGCAGAACAUGUUACAUGCCUGCACCCGUGUGUCCUAUGGUAGCCAGAAGUUGUUGCAUGAGAGGAGAAAUGCAGCCCAUCACUGCUUAAACUCAUGCUGGUGAACCAGAAGUCCAUAGACAAACAUCCUUAAGAGCCCCAAGAGACUUGCUGGUUUCUCACACUUUGAAGAAUAAGAUGAAUUGCUGGCUUACCUGAGGAAGCUCAGAGGAAGACUAUCUCCAGAAAACAGCAAUAAAAUACCAGAUAGAAAAUGUAGUUGCCUUUCUCUUUUUAUUUUUUGGCAUUGUGAGUAAAGCUCUUUCCUCUUUGCUUCAAAGAGCUGAAGAGUAAAGUAGUGUUUGAUUUGAUUCUUCUGCUCCUCUUUUCUAAAUCAGAAUGACACCUGUGUUGCCUUCCAUACCAACAGUCAAUUUAUCAUUAAAUACGUCAACUGCCGAAUACAAUUCAAAUAUUGGUUGAAGAAAACAAAAGCUCUUUAAAGAGAAACUGGAUUUUCAAAGGUAACUGCUGUAAGGCUGCAUUCCUUCUAAGGGUAGAAUCUAAGCUGCUGCUGACACAUCAGAUUAGAAAAAUAAUCAGCUGCAUCUUCAAAGAACAUUCUCGUCUUCUGCAUUUAAUUCUUUUGGGCCUACAUGUAAAUAAAGUGCUUAAUUCUUUAAAUCCAGAUGACCAGCUGAGUUUUACUUCUUUCACUUCUUUCACUUUUAAAGUCUCAAAAGCAAGGAGACCAUGGCUUUGUUUCAUACCUUGCUAUAGGACAAGAACUUCCACAGUUGAGACCUUAGACAUAGGACCUCCUCCUAGACAUUCUAUUGAAGACCUGAACAAUGAUCUGACCUCACUUAACGGCUCCGUGUCACCUUCUCUCCCCUCUUCUUCUCAUAUUCUCCCCACAUACUUAUACUGCCAAGCUCUAUUUGCCUUUUACUGAGUGCAUUCUCCUCAAAUUUCCUUAAUGCAGCGCACGGCGCGUGCUCACAUACUCACCUUGUGCCUUUGACUUUAGCCAGGAAAUGUGCCCUGCCCUUCUCUCCAAGGUUCUUGCCUCCACAGCAGAGGUUCCUCAGCUGCUCAGGAACCGAUGCUGAGCUGCCAUGAAUUAGAG
Long non-coding RNA from Gallus gallus (chicken), 1244 nucleotides. Lineage: Eukaryota; Metazoa; Chordata; Aves; Galliformes; Phasianidae. The record is from Ensembl.